This 762-nucleotide ribosomal RNA is filed under the name uncultured bacterium. Its description in RNAcentral is "bacterial SSU rRNA". It matches the Rfam family "Bacterial small subunit ribosomal RNA", at positions 8 to 796 of the family's 1533-position model. The record is from RNAcentral.
AGAGUUUGAUCCUGGCUCAGGACGAACGCUGGCGGUGUGCUUCACACAUGCAAGUCGAACGAGGUAGCAAUACCUAGUGGCGGACGGGUGAGUAACACGUAGGAAUCUGCCUUCGAGUAGGGGAUAGCAAGCCGAAAGGCUUAUUAAUACCGUAUACGUACACGGUCGGACACGGCCGUAUAUGAAAGGAGUAAUCCGCUCGAAGAGGAGCCUGCGCCCGAUUAGCUUGUUGGUAAGGUAACGGCUUACCAAGGCGAUGAUCGGUAGGUGGUCUGAGAGGACGAUCACCCACAAUGGGACUGAGACACGGCCCAUACUCCUACGGGAGGCAGCAGUGGGGAAUUUUGCGCAAUGGGGGAAACCCUGACGCAGCGACACCGCGUGAGCGAAGAAGCCUUUUGGGGUGUAAAGCUCUGUCGGCUGGGAAGAAAAAAAUGACUGUACCAGCAGAGGAAGCAUCGGCUAACUACGUGCCAGCAGCCGCGGUAAGACGUAGGAUGCAAGCGUUGUCCGGAUUCAUUGGGCGUAAAGAGUUCGUAGGCGGUUUUUUAAGUUCGGAGUUAAAGAUCAAGGCUCAACCUUGGGACUGCUUUGAAUACUGAAAGACUUGAGUGCAGUAGGGGCGAGUGGAAUUUCCAGUGUAGCGGUGAAAUGCGUAGAUAUUGGAAAGAACACCAGUGGCGUAGGCGGCUCGCUGGGCUGUAACUGACGCUGAGGAACGAAAGCUAGGGUAGCGAAUGGGAUUAGAUACCCNNGUAGUCC